This 1072-nucleotide long non-coding RNA is filed under the name Corvus moneduloides (New Caledonian crow). RNAcentral describes it as "lncRNA (ENSCMUG00000020292.1)". Lineage: Eukaryota; Metazoa; Chordata; Aves; Passeriformes; Corvidae. The record is from RNAcentral.
GCCAAACUGGGAGCACUGGGAUGGACUGGGAGCGCUGGGAGUGGGGCUGGGCCGGCGUCAGAGCCGCCCGAUGCUGGUGGUGAGGGUCAAACUGGGAGCACUGGGAUGGACUGGGAGCACUGGGAGUGGGGCUGGGCCGGCGCCAGAGCCGCCCGCUGCUGCUGGUGAGGGUCAAACUGGGAGCACUGGGAUGGACUGGGAGCGCUGGGAGUGGGGCUGGGCCGGCGCCAGAGCCGCCCGCUGCUGCUGGUGAGAGUUAAACUGGGAGCACUGGGAUGGACUGGGAGCGCUGGGAGUGGGGCUGGGCCGGCGCCAGAGCCGCCCGCUGCUGCUGGUGAGGGUCAAACUGGGAGCACUGGGAUGGACUGGGAGCGCUGGCAGUGGGGCUGGGCUGGCGCCAGAGCCGCCCGCUGCUGCUGGUGAGAGUCAAACUGGGAGCACUGGGAUGGACUGGGAGCGCUGGGAGUCGGGCUGGGCCGGCGCCAGAGCCGCCCGCUGCUGCUGGUGAGGGUCAAACUGGGAGCACUGGGAUGGACUGGGAGCACUGGGAGUGGGGCUGGGCGGGCGCCAGAGCCGCCCGCUGCUGCUGGUGAGGGUCAAACUGGGAGCACUGGGAUGGACUGGGAGCGCUGGGAGUGGGGCUGGGCCGGCGCCAGAGCCGCCCGCUGCUGCUGGUGCACGUGGAGCAGGAGCUGCUCCUCUACGAGGGGGUUGGGGGUUCCCAGGUGGAUUUUGGGGGUUCCCAGGUGGAUUUUGGGGUGCUGGGCUGGAUUUUGGGGUACCCUGACCCCAUUUUCGGGGUUCCCAGGUGGAUUUUGAGGGUUCCCAGGUGGAUUUUGGGGCUCCCCGGUGGAUUUUGGGGGUUCCCAGGUGGAUUUUGGGGUGCCCUGACCCGUUUUCGGGGCUCCCAGGUGCACGUGGAGCAGGAGCUGCUCCUCUACGAGGGGGUUUGGGGGUUCCCAGGUGGAUUUUGGGGCUCCCCGGUGGAUUUUGGGGGUUCCCAGGUGGAUUUUGGGGUGCCCUGACCCCAUUUUCGGGGUUCCCAGGUGGAUUUUGGGGGUUCCCAGGUGGA